AUGAAAUGGGCCAUUCAUGAUAAAUUCAGCCAUUGGCUGCGAGGGCAUAAGUUUACUGUGUGGACCGACAACAAUCCACUCAAAUAUAUUCUUACAAAGCCGAGACUUGAUGCAUGCGAGCAGAGAUGGGUUGCAAAGCUGGCACCCUUUGACUUUGAUAUCCAGUACAUACCAGGUCCCAAGAAUGUCGUUGCUGAUGUUUUGAGCAGAGAGCCAUUUGUCCGCUCCACAGUUCUGCACCGACUGACAAGAAUUCCAUAUGAUGUCCUGCUGGAGGAAGCCAGAGGUCUUCGAGUGGAUGAUGUUCAAGACAUGUUCCGCCUCUCCUGUGAACAGCCCGAGGCUGGCUGUGGAACGUCUAUGGCUCCUGGGAGUGAGUUAAGUAGAGUUAAUCGCACGCUGGGGGGGAUGAUUAGAGCUCUGCCAGCUAGGUCCAAGGCUAAAUGGCCUCAGAUGUUGAACACAUUGACAUUCUCCUAUAACUGCACUGUUCACGAGACUACUGGGUUUCCGCCCUUCUUCUUGAUGUUUGGACGCACCCCUAGGUUGCCAGUAGAUGUUAUGUUUGAAAGUGUGCUGUUGGAUGGGGACACGGUCGAUGUGGAUAAGUAUGUCCAGUCUUUGGGUGAGGAUCUGAGAGAAGCCAUGACAUUGGCUCAGCAGCAUGCAAGUAAGCAACAAAAGAGACAAGCCGAGGUCUACAACAGACGGUCGAAGGGUCAUUCGGUAGAGAAGGGAGACAGAGUUCUACUUGCUAACAAGGGAGAGAGGGGCAAGAAGAAACUGGCUGAUCGCUGGGACAGUGCGGUGUACAUAGUUGUUGCGAAGAACAGCUCACUGAACACAUAUCGUAUACAGCACCCUACCACUGGACGCAUCAAGACGGUGCAUAGGAACCUGAUUAUGCCAGUCAACUUUCUGCCUUUGCCUUCAUGGGAGGAACCUGAGAGUCACGGAUAUCUAUCGAGUGGUGACGUGUUCUCUGAGAUGUCUGCAGCGUCCAGCAAAAUGGAUGGGAGUGACGCAAGGACUGUCCACUGGGUAGCAAGCCUUCCUGAGUCUUCUGGGAGGAUAUUCCAAGAAGAUGGUGUAGUCCCAGUUGAUGGAAGUGAAGUGGAACGGCCAUAUGACGUCCCCUUGAGUGAGGUGUGCUCAGUAGAAGUGGACCAGAGAGAGAUCCCCAAAGCAUACAAGAGUUCUGAUGGCGAAACUCCAUUCAGUGGGGAUGGUGCUGUGACAGAUGUUGUUAACUUGGUUGAAGAUGCUUUGUCAGUGUGGUCUGUGGCAAUCUACCAGGAUUCUGAUCAGUCGUCUGACACUACUAGUGUUGAGUCUGUAACUGAAAGUGUGCUGGCUCCGGAUAGGCCGAGUUGUAGUAUUCCCAAACCUGAGGUUAGGCCUCUGAGCACGGUUAGGGCUGUCCGUGACAUUCCUGCUAGGUUUUUGGGUGAGGGUGUUCGGACUAGACUAGGUAGAUUUAUUAAGCCAGUGGAUAGGUUAAUCCAAACUAUGUCUACACAGGAAAUGAAACCGUUCUUGGUUUCUCAGUGA
Molecule: long non-coding RNA, 1551 nt
Organism: Salmo trutta (river trout)
Lineage: Eukaryota; Metazoa; Chordata; Actinopteri; Salmoniformes; Salmonidae
Source: Ensembl